Molecule: ribosomal RNA, 301 nt
Filed under: uncultured bacterium
Lineage: Bacteria
Description: partial 16S ribosomal RNA
Rfam family: Bacterial small subunit ribosomal RNA
Source: RNAcentral
CAGUAGCCACGGUAAUACAGAGGGUGCAAGCGUUAAUCGGAAUUACUGGGCGUAAAGCGCGCGUAGGUGGUUCGUUAAGUUGGAUGUGAAAUCCCCGGGCUCAACCUGGGAACUGCAUCCAAAACUGGCGAGCUAGAGUAGGGCAGAGGGUGGUGGAAUUUCCUGUGUAGCGGUGAAAUGCGUAGAUAUAGGAAGGAACACCAGUGGCGAAGGCGACCACCUGGGCUCAUACUGACACUGAGGUGCGAAAGCGUGGGGAGCAAACAGGAUUAGAUACCCCGGUAGUCCCUGUCUCUUAUAC